GACGAACGCUGGCGGCGUGCCUAAUACAUGCAAGUAGAACGCUGAAGAGAGGAGCUUGCUCUUCUUGGAUGAGUUGCGAACGGGUGAGUAACGCGUAGGUAACCUGCCUUGUAGCGGGGGAUAACUAUUGGAAACGAUAGCUAAUACCGCAUAACAAUGGAUGACACAUGUCAUUUAUUUGAAAGGGGCAAUUGCUCCACUACAAGAUGGACCUGCGUUGUAUUAGCUAGUAGGUGAGGUAACGGCUCACCUAGGCGACGAUACAUAGCCGACCUGAGAGGGUGAUCGGCCACACUGGGACUGAGACACGGCCCAGACUCCUACGGGAGGCAGCAGUAGGGAAUCUUCGGCAAUGGGGGCAACCCUGACCGAGCAACGCCGCGUGAGUGAAGAAGGUUUUCGGAUCGUAAAGCUCUGUUGUAAGUCAAGAACGAGUGUGAGAGUGGAAAGUUCACACUGUGACGGUAGCUUACCAGAAAGGGACGGCUAACUACGUGCCAGCAGCCGCGGUAAUACGUAGGUCCCGAGCGUUGUCCGGAUUUAUUGGGCGUAAAGCGAGCGCAGGCGGUUUGAUAAGUCUGAAGUUAAAGGCUGUGGCUCAACCAUAGUUCGCUUUGGAAACUGUCAAACUUGAGUGCAGAAGGGGAGAGUGGAAUUCCAUGUGUAGCGGUGAAAUGCGUAGAUAUAUGGAGGAACACCGGUGGCGAAAGCGGCUCUCUGGUCUGUAACUGACGCUGAGGCUCGAAAGCGUGGGGAGCGAACAGGAUUAGAUACCCUGGUAGUCCACGCCGUAAACGAUGAGUGCUAGGUGUUGGAUCCUUUCCGGGAUUCAGUGCCGCAGCUAACGCAUUAAGCACUCCGCCUGGGGAGUACGACCGCAAGGUUGAAACUCAAAGGAAUUGACGGGGGCCCGCACAAGCGGUGGAGCAUGUGGUUUAAUUCGAAGCAACGCGAAGAACCUUGCCAGGUCUUGACAUCCCGAUGCUAUUUCUAGAGAUAGAAAGUUACUUCGGUACAUCGGUGACAGGUGGUGCAUGGUUGUCGUCAGCUCGUGUCGUGAGAUGUUGGGUUAAGUCCCGCAACGAGCGCAACCCCUAUUGUUAGUUGCCAUCAUUCAGUUGGGCACUCUAGCGAGACUGCCGGUAAUAAACCGGAGGAAGGUGGGGAUGACGUCAAAUCAUCAUGCCCCUUAUGACCUGGGCUACACACGUGCUACAAUGGUUGGUACAACGAGUUGCGAGUCGGUGACGGCAAGCUAAUCUCUUAAAGCCAAUCUCAGUUCGGAUUGUAGGCUGCAACUCGCCUACAUGAAGUCGGAAUCGCUAGUAAUCGCGGAUCAGCACGCCGCGGUGAAUACGUUCCCGGGCCU
This 1369-nucleotide ribosomal RNA is filed under the name uncultured bacterium. RNAcentral describes it as "bacterial SSU rRNA". It matches the Rfam family "Bacterial small subunit ribosomal RNA", at positions 28 to 1381 of the family's 1533-position model. The record is from RNAcentral.